Long non-coding RNA from Oncorhynchus keta (chum salmon), 934 nucleotides. RefSeq lists it as uncharacterized. The transcript is spliced from 6 exons. The record is from RefSeq and is a predicted model, not a curated record. NCBI's taxonomy places the organism in Eukaryota, Metazoa, Chordata, Actinopteri, Salmoniformes, Salmonidae.
UCCUCCAGACUAUCGUCCCAAACAGUCCGACUCCCUCCAGACUAUCGUCCCAAACAGUCCGACUCCCUCCAGACUAUCGUCCCAAACAGUCCGACUCCCUCCAGACUAUCGUCCCAAACAGUCCGACUCCCUCCAGACUACUGUCUCCUCUCCGAGGAGUAGUAGAGGGUCUGACUGUCUCCUCUCCCGAGGGAGUAGUAGAGGGUCUGACUGUCUCCUCUGAGGGAGUAGUAGAGGGUCUGACUGUCUCUCUCUGAGGGAGUAGUAGAGGGUCUGACUGUCUCUCUGAGGGAGUAGUAGAGGGUCUGACUGUCUCCUCUCUGAGGGAGUAGUAGAUGGUCUGACUGUCUCUCUCCGAGAGAGUAGUAGAGGGUCUGACUGUCUCAGAGGGAGUAGUAGAGGGUCUGACUGUCUCCGAGGGAGUAGUAGACGGUCUGACUGUCUCCGAGGGAGUAGUAGAGGGUCUGACUGUCUCCUCUCCGAGGGAGUAGUAGAGGGUCUGACUGUCUCCGAGGAGUAGUAGAGGGUCUGACUGUCUCCUCUCCGAGGGAGUAGUAGAGGGUCUGACUGUCUCCUCUCCGAGGGAGUAGUAGAGGGUCUGACUGUCUCCUCUCCGAGGGAGUAGUAGAGGGUCUGACUGUCUCCGAGGGAGUAGUAGAGGGUCUGACUGUCUCCGAGGGAGUAGUAGAUGGUCUGACUGUCUCGAGGGAGUAGUAGAUGGUCUGACUGUCUCCGAGGGAGUAGUAGAUGGUCUGACUGUCUCCGAGGGAGUAGUAGAGGGUCUGACUGUCUCCGAGGGAGUAGUAGAAGGUCUGACUGUCUCCGAGGGAGUAGUAGAGGGUCUGACUGUCUCCGAGGGAGUAGUAGAGGGUCUGACUGUCUCCUCUCCGAGGGAGUAGUAGAGGGUCUGACUGUCUCCGAGGGAGUAGUAGAG